Molecule: long non-coding RNA, 1741 nt
Organism: Salvator merianae (Argentine black and white tegu)
Lineage: Eukaryota; Metazoa; Chordata; Lepidosauria; Squamata; Teiidae
Source: Ensembl
CUUGUCUUUUUCCCUUGCUUUUUUGUUGUUGUUGUUGUUUGUUUGUUUCUGAUGGGAAAUAAAUUCCAUUAUACCCAUACUUGGUUGCAUCAAUUAGGAGUUGAUAAGGCAUCUUUAUUCNUCUUAGGUCUGCCAGGGAAAUUGUCAGGACUGCAGGCACAAACUAACCCUAAGGACCUUUCUGCACUGGACCUUAUUCCGGAAUAUAUCCCGAAACAGGGGCCUGCCAUCCACAUCCUNGUGCAAACUACGGCAGUCCCCNGGUAGGACACGCUUCCUAGAGGUAAGCAAAAGAGAGCCAAGAAAUAGACACUUCGGGUUCCCCUUCGACCCACAGGUGUUGCUCCUCCAGCUCUUUCCCCGAAUUGGGAAGGGGAAAAGCGGUUUAAGAGGGAGUUUGCAGAACUGGACCUCAUUUCCCAUGGGGAAGAAGGAAGAUAUUUCUUUUUCCAGGACAUGAAGGAAGAGAAGAUUUUAUUAGGUGAUGAUGAACCAUGGAAUACUAUGAGGCNAUUGGUAGUGUCAUCAAAAACACAAUGGUGCAGAUUGGGAAAAAAGGCAUUUGCAAAUCAAAUUGAAGAGAAGAGACAGGANAGAAAUUUACCAAGUGAUGGGUGGAAUAAAUUUGCCACAUCUCAAGGUGCUGAUAUCUGUGGAUUCCUCNCCCUACCUGAUUAUCCUAUAAUCCACAUCCAGGAAAAACCUCAUAAAUGCAUGGAUUGUGGGAAGAGCUUUAAUUGAACAUCACACCUUAGUUCACAUCAAAGAAUCCACACAGGUGAGAAGCUANACAAGUGCACUGAGUGUCGAAAUAGCUUCCGCGAAAGCGGAGCACUUAAGAAACAUCAAAGAAGCCACACUGGAAAGAAACCAUAUCAGUGUGCNGACUGCAGAAACAGUUACAACUCGCAUGCACAACUUAUCUCACAUCAAAUUACACAAAUAGGAGAGAAACCUUUUAAAUGUAUGGAUUGCAGAAAAGGGUUCACUCAGUGAUCAGCCCUUUCUGCCCAUCAGAGAACCCAUACAGGUGACAAACCAUAUAAAUGUAUGNAAUAUGGGAAAAACUUCACACAGCAGNCACAGCUGAGUUCAUACUGGAGGACACAUACAGGGGAGAAAUCCUAUAAAUAUAUGGAGUGUGGGAAGAGCUUCAGUUGGCUUGCGCAGCGUAGAUUACAUCAGAGAACCCACAUGGGAGGAACUUUAUAAAUGUAUAGAGUGCGAGAAAACUUUCCGCCAGAGUUCACAUCUUAGUUCACAUAAAAGAAUCCACAUGGGAGUAAAGCCAUAUGUGUGGAGCGUGGGAAGAGCUUCACUGAAAGUGGAAAAUUGAAGAAGCAUNGAAGAAUUCACACAGGGGAGAAACCCUACCNAUACANGGAGUGUGGAAAGUGUUUUACUUGGAGCGAAAGCCUUAGGCUACAUCAAAGAAACCANAUAGGACAAAAAUGCAUGGUAUGUGGGAAAAACUUCAGUUGUAGCAUCUGCUUUCAUUGCUUUGAAAACAUCCGAGGGGAUACCAAACAGGCAGUGGAACACUGUUUGAACACCCAGGAACCCAAAUUAUAUAAAUUCAGUGCUUUAUGAACAGCUCCAGUACAGAGAGGAUUCCUUCUUAAGAAAUCAUGUAGAGAAGAAAGGCUAAAGUUACAUAUGUAAAAUGUCAAAUUACAGGCUACUUAUUUGCUAUAGAGCUCAAUUCUAGAUGCCAAUAUAUAACUCUAAAUGACUUAAGUCA